CCUACGGGUGGCAGCAGUGGGGGAUAUUGCACAAUGGGGGAAACCCUGAUGCAGCGACGCCGCGUGGGUGAAGAAGUAUUUCGGUAUGUAAAGCCCUAUCAGCAGGGAAGAAAGAAGACGGUACCUGACUAAGAAGCCCCGGCUAACUACGUGCCAGCAGCCGCGGUAAUACGUAGGGGGCGAGCGUUAUCCGGAUUCACUGGGUGUAAAGGGAGCGUAGACGGCCGUGCAAGCCAGGAGUGAAAGCCCGGGGCCCAACCCCGGGACUGCUCUUGGAACUGGGCGGCUGGAGUGCGGGAGGGGCAGGCGGAAUUCCUGGUGUAGCGGUGAAAUGCGUAGAUAUCAGGAGGAACACCGGCGGCGAAGGCGGCCUGCUGGACCGCGACUGACGUUGAGGCUCGAAAGCGUGGGGAGCGAACAGGAUUAGAUACCCUGGUAGUC
RNAcentral lists this ribosomal RNA (441 nucleotides) under uncultured bacterium. RNAcentral's name for it is "partial 16S ribosomal RNA". It matches the Rfam family "Bacterial small subunit ribosomal RNA", at positions 338 to 795 of the family's 1533-position model. The record is from RNAcentral.